GGAGCUGUGGCUCAGGGGUAGAGCGGUUGAUGCACGUGACCCGUCCCUGGCUCGUUGAUUGGCUGAAAUAACUAACCUUUUCUACAGUGCAAAUUUGCGAUGAUCAAUAGGUCCCGUGUUCGAUCCACGGCAGUUCCU
Molecule: non-coding RNA, 138 nt
Organism: Aspergillus melleus
Lineage: Eukaryota; Fungi; Ascomycota; Eurotiomycetes; Eurotiales; Aspergillaceae
Source: the annotation of a RefSeq genome assembly